Mauremys mutica (yellowpond turtle) is the source of this 1677-nucleotide long non-coding RNA. RefSeq lists it as uncharacterized. The transcript is spliced from 3 exons. Lineage: Eukaryota; Metazoa; Chordata; Testudines; Geoemydidae. The record is from RefSeq and is a predicted model, not a curated record.
CACUUCCUCCUUGUCCUCACUGUUCGUGGCAGGGGCCUAUGACUCAGGCUCCUUGAAGGUAUCCAUGGUGAUGUGCAGGAUGGCAGGGGGGUCUCCCCAAAUAUGGCAUGCAGCUCUUUGUAAAAGCAGCAUUCUAUGGCUCAGCACCAGAUUGAUUGCGGCCUCCUUGGCCUUCUGCUGUUCCUGCUGCAGUUCCUUCACCAUAGUGCCGCACGGUUGCUGAUCUGUUAUACCCCGUCCCCUGCAUCCCCUGUGCAAUAGAUGUCCAUGUUUCUACAGCUGGUCCAUAGCUGUGUUUGCACAGCGCUCCCCACAGGCGGAGGAGAUCUAAUAUCUCCUGUCUACUACGUGCCAGAGUGUGUCUGGAGCAUGUAACUGGCAUGGUCAGCUGCCAGUUGCACACAAUAAUGGAGGGCUAGGUGUGCUCAUCCAGAUAGGCAAUCAGGAAAAGUCAUUUCAAAACUUCACAUGGUUUUAAAUGGAGAAGGUGGGGAGCUUCUGGUCAUGACCCCUGGGCAGUGGAGUUAACAAUUGUGACCAGAUCAAUCAGUGUCAGGCAUUUUUGCCAUAUUUGCUAUAUAUGGUCUUCUCUGCACUUGGAUUCAGGAACUUUAAGGCUAAGAUCAGUGACAGCAAGAGCACAAGACAAUUUAAGAAAUAAACAUCCUCUGCAUUCCUUAUAUAACAUCAAUAACAGGAUCAGCUGGUUAGGUAAGAAGCUGUUGGUGGUUGUAGUGAGCCUGAGUGGCCUCCCUCUGAGCAGGAGAGCAAGGGUGCAUUACACGCCCAUUGGAGGGCAAAGCUAGACCGCCCUCCCCACCUCCCCCCCACCCGCUUGUGGGAAGUACCAGGGUGUGGCUGGAAGUAUAAAAGGCUGGCCCUACAGCACAGUUGGAAGAGAGCCUGCGGAGAAGGACGCUGUGCCUGCUCUCCUGCAUCCCCAAGAGAAAUCUGCGCCUGGCAGUUCUCAAUACCCAGACGCUGACGAGGACUGGCCCCAAGUACCUGCUGUUGUAUAUCCCGAGGAGCCGGAAGAAGCCUGGAGGCCGCAGCCAUGAUUUUUCCAUGAUGCAUCACAAUGGUUCUUACUUAAUGUUCAAGACAAAGUCAGGAUUGUCCCCAUUGGUCUGAUAACCUCCUCUGAAGAAAGUGUCAUUCUGCAAAUCACACAUUUCUCUGUGCAUAUUGGGCCUGAUCCAAAGACCACAUAGGUCUCUUAUUAACUUUAAUGGACAGUGGAUCAUGCCCUUGAACAUAACUUCGCCACUGCCUUGCUGCAGCAACUGGCUGCCAAGGCAGCUGGAAAGUUUUCAUGUCUAAGAUUCUGCUUUCAGAGUAAACUUUCAGAAUAAAGCUUUACAGUUUCUCUGCCCAUAACAAUGGCUAUUCCAGCUAUUAGCUCCUACUUUUUGUACUGUUUGACUGAGAUGUAUGUUUUAUACAGGUCAUCUGCUCUUUUAUAUUAAGUAUUCAUAUUUUUUUAAGACAGCAAGGAUUGUGGACAACAUUUUGACAGUGAGCAUGAAAAUGCAAGGGAAGGGAAACGUGACAACACCUUUAACUCCCUUUGAUUGUUCAGCCCAAAUAAUAUCUUCUAUGCAUCAUAAUCUUGACAGUGAAACUUGUAAAAACGUUGAGAGAAUGACAGCAGGGUUACUCUCAUUGUGUGUAAACUAA